GAGGUUCUAACCUGGAUCCAUUAUCUGGAUCGGGGACAGUGCAUGGUAGGCAGUUUGACUGGGGCGGUCUCCUCCCAAAGCGUAACGGAGGAGUUCGAAGGUACGCUAGUUACGGUCGGACAUCGUGACGAUAGUGCAAUGGCAUAAGCGUGCUUAACUGCGAGACUGACAAGUCGAGCAGAUGCGAAAGCAGGACAUAGUGAUCCGGUGGUUCUGUAUGGAAGGGCCAUCGCUCAACGGAUAAAAGGUACUCUGGGGAUAACAGGCUGAUACCGCCCAAGAGUUCAUAUCGACGGCGG
This 299-nucleotide ribosomal RNA is filed under the name Comamonas testosteroni. RNAcentral describes it as "partial 23S ribosomal RNA". It matches the Rfam family "Bacterial large subunit ribosomal RNA", at positions 2216 to 2514 of the family's 2925-position model. Lineage: Bacteria; Pseudomonadati; Pseudomonadota; Betaproteobacteria; Burkholderiales; Comamonadaceae. The record is from RNAcentral.